AACGCUAGCUACAGGCUUAACACAUGCAAGUCGAGGGGCAGCAUGAUUGAAGCUUGCUUCAAUUGAUGGCGACCGGCGCACGGGUGAGUAACACGUAUCCAACCUUCCGUACACUCAGGGAUAGCCUUUCGAAAGAAAGAUUAAUACCUGAUGGUAUCUUAAGCACACAUGUAAUUAAGAUUAAAGAUUUAUCGGUGUACGAUGGGGAUGCGUUCCAUUAGGUAGUAGGCGGGGUAACGGCCCACCUAGCCGACGAUGGAUAGGGGUUCUGAGAGGAAGGUCCCCCACAUUGGAACUGAGACACGGUCCAAACUCCUACGGGAGGCAGCAGUGAGGAAUAUUGGUCAAUGGGCGCGAGCCUGAACCAGCCAAGUAGCGUGAAGGAUGAAGGUCCUAUGGAUUGUAAACUUCUUUUAUACGGGAAUAAAGUGGUCCACGUGUGGGCUUUUGCAUGUACCGUAUGAAUAAGCAUCGGCUAACUCCGUGCCAGCAGCCGCGGUAAUACGGAGGAUGCGAGCGUUAUCCGGAUUUAUUGGGUUUAAAGGGAGCGUAGACGGGGGAUUAAGUCAGUUGUGAAAGUUUGCGGCUCAACCGUAAAAUUGCAGUUGAUACUGGUUCCCUUGAGUGCAGUUGAGGCAGGCGGAAUUCGUGGUGUAGCGGUGAAAUGCAUAGAUAUCACGAAGAACUCCGAUUG
This 694-nucleotide ribosomal RNA is filed under the name uncultured bacterium. RNAcentral describes it as "bacterial SSU rRNA". It matches the Rfam family "Bacterial small subunit ribosomal RNA", at positions 32 to 715 of the family's 1533-position model. The record is from RNAcentral.